UGGGGGAUAUUGCACAAUGGGCGAAAGCCUGAUGCAGCGACGCCGCGUGGGGGAUGAAGGCCUUCGGGUUGUAAACUUCUUUUGCUCUGAACAAGGCAUGCUAAUGGGUGUGUUGAGUGUAGGGGUUGAUUAGCGCCGGCUAACUACGUGCCAGCAGCCGCGGUAAUACGUAGGGCGCGAGCGUUGUCCGGCAUUAUUGGGCGUAAAGGGCUUGUAGGUGGCUGGUUGCGUCUGUCGUGAAAGCUCAUGGCUUAACUGUGGGUUUGCGGUGGGUACGGGCUGGCUUGAGUGCAGUAGGGGAGGCUGGAAUUCCUGGUGUAGCGGUGGAAUGCGCAGAUAUCAGGAGGAAUACCGGUGGCGAAGGCGGGUCUCUGGGCUGUUACUGACACUGAGGAGCGAAAGCAUGGGGAGCGAACAGG
RNAcentral lists this ribosomal RNA (419 nucleotides) under bacterium. RNAcentral's name for it is "partial 16S ribosomal RNA". It matches the Rfam family "Bacterial small subunit ribosomal RNA", at positions 355 to 776 of the family's 1533-position model. The record is from RNAcentral.